UGCGUAGGCGGUCCGCUAAGUUGGAUGUGAAAACUCUGGGCUUAACCCAGAGCCUGCAUUCAAAACUGACGGGCUAGAGUUCUGGAGGGGGUAGCGGAAUUCCUGGUGUAGCGGUUAAAUGCGUAGAUAUCAGGAGGAACACCGGUGGCGAAGGCGGCUACCUGGACAGAAACUGACGCUGAGGCACGAAAGCUAGGGGAGCAAACA
RNAcentral lists this ribosomal RNA (207 nucleotides) under uncultured bacterium. RNAcentral describes it as "partial 16S ribosomal RNA". It matches the Rfam family "Bacterial small subunit ribosomal RNA", at positions 568 to 774 of the family's 1533-position model. The record is from RNAcentral.